AGCAGACCAGUUUCACGAAACACCGCAGUCGCAGCUUCUGCGAGAUACGACAGCGUGGUGGGAUGUCCCAGCCUCUCGAGUUCUUCGCGAGCGACGCGAUAACGCAACUCGGGCUUGUCCCCCAGCGUGAAUAGCGCCUCCCUGCACCCCGCCUUCUUGCCCGCUUGCGCAAUGGCCACCAUCUGCUCGAUCGAAAGAUAAGGCUUUUCACCAUUACGUGGCG
RNAcentral lists this unclassified non-coding RNA (223 nucleotides) under Hevea brasiliensis (rubber tree). The record is from RNAcentral. Lineage: Eukaryota; Viridiplantae; Streptophyta; Magnoliopsida; Malpighiales; Euphorbiaceae.